CAGGCCUAACACAUGCAAGUCGAGCGAGAAAGGGGAAACCCCGGUAAAGCGGCGCACGGGUGAGUAACACGUAGGUAAUUUACCCCCAGGUGGUGGAUAACCUUCCGAAAGGAGGGCUAAUACAGCAUAAGACCACGUCUUCGCAAGGAGAUGAGGUCAAAGCCGGCCUCUUCACGAAAGCUGGCGCCAGGGGAUGAGCCUGCGGCCCAUCACGGUAGUUGGUAGGGUAAUGGCCUACCAAGCCUAAGACGGGUAGCUGGUCUGAGAGGAUGAUCAGCCACACUGGAACUGAGACACGGUCCAGACUCCUACGGGAGGCAGCAGUGGGGAAUCUUGCGCAAUGGGCGAAAGCCUGACGCAGCGACGCCGCGUGAGUGAUGAAGGCCUUCGGGUUGUAAAGCUCUGUGGGGAGGGACGAAUAAGUGCUGGCUAAUAUCCAGCGCGAUGACGGUACCUGUUUAGCAAGCACCGGCUAACUCUGUGCCAGCAGCCGCGGUAAU
This 500-nucleotide ribosomal RNA is filed under the name uncultured bacterium. RNAcentral describes it as "bacterial SSU rRNA". It matches the Rfam family "Bacterial small subunit ribosomal RNA", at positions 43 to 524 of the family's 1533-position model. The record is from RNAcentral.